Molecule: ribosomal RNA, 620 nt
Filed under: Streptomyces hydrogenans
Lineage: Bacteria; Bacillati; Actinomycetota; Actinomycetes; Kitasatosporales; Streptomycetaceae
Description: bacterial SSU rRNA
Rfam family: Bacterial small subunit ribosomal RNA
Source: RNAcentral
GGCGGGGAUUAGUGGCGAACGGGUGAGUAACACGUGGGCAAUCUGCCCUGCACUCUGGGACAAGCCCUGGAAACGGGGUCUAAUACCGGAUAUGACUGUCCAUCGCAUGGUGGAUGGUGUAAAGCUCCGGCGGUGCAGGAUGAGCCCGCGGCCUAUCAGCUUGUUGGUGAGGUAGUGGCUCACCAAGGCGACGACGGGUAGCCGGCCUGAGAGGGCGACCGGCCACACUGGGACUGAGACACGGCCCAGACUCCUACGGGAGGCAGCAGUGGGGAAUAUUGCACAAUGGGCGAAAGCCUGAUGCAGCGACGCCGCGUGAGGGAUGACGGCCUUCGGGUUGUAAACCUCUUUCAGCAGGGAAGAAGCGAAAGUGACGGUACCUGCAGAAGAAGCGCCGGCUAACUACGUGCCAGCAGCCGCGGUAAUACGUAGGGCGCAAGCGUUGUCCGGAAUUAUUGGGCGUAAAGAGCUCGUAGGCGGCUUGUCACGUCGGUUGUGAAAGCCCGGGGCUUAACCCCGGGUCUGCAGUCGAUACGGGCAGGCUAGAGUUCGGUAGGGGAGAUCGGAAUUCCUGGUGUAGCGGUGAAAUGCGCAGAUAUCAGGAGGAACACCGGUGGCGA